This 66-nucleotide small RNA is filed under the name Streptococcus suis. Lineage: Bacteria; Bacillati; Bacillota; Bacilli; Lactobacillales; Streptococcaceae. The record is from RNAcentral.
UCCUGUGCAACCGCACGAAUACCGUUUAAGUGGUUCGUCCCACGGUACUAGGCGAGUCUUCACAUC